GUGCUCGCUGCGGCAGCACAUAUACUAACAUUGGAACGAUAUGGAGAUUAGCAUGGCCCCUGCGCAAUGAUGAUGUGCAAAUUCGUGAAGCGUUCCAUAUUUAA
Non-coding RNA from Myotis davidii, 104 nucleotides. NCBI's taxonomy places the organism in Eukaryota, Metazoa, Chordata, Mammalia, Chiroptera, Vespertilionidae. The record is from Rfam.